Molecule: ribosomal RNA, 253 nt
Filed under: uncultured bacterium
Lineage: Bacteria
Description: partial 16S ribosomal RNA
Rfam family: Bacterial small subunit ribosomal RNA
Source: RNAcentral
GACGUAGGGCGCAAGCGUUGUCCGGAUUUAUUGGGCGUAAAGAGCUCGUAGGCGGCUUGUUGCGUCGACCGUGAAAACCCGUGGCUCAACUGCGGGAUUGCGGUCGAUACGGGCGGGCUAGAGUUCGGUAGGGGAGACUGGAAUUCCUGGUGUAGCGGUGAAAUGCGCAGAUAUCAGGAGGAACACCGGUGGCGAAGGCGGGUCUCUGGGCCGAUACUGACGCUGAGGAGCGAAAGCGUGGGGAGCGAACAGG